This is a long non-coding RNA of Pezoporus occidentalis (night parrot), 2244 nucleotides long. RefSeq lists it as uncharacterized. The transcript is spliced from 3 exons. The record is from RefSeq and is a predicted model, not a curated record. NCBI's taxonomy places the organism in Eukaryota, Metazoa, Chordata, Aves, Psittaciformes, Psittacidae.
UUCGCUGCUUUUCUGCAAACACGACCAAGAAUCUGUCUUGAGAUCUUCAACUGAUGGCUGCUCUGCAGCAGGGCCUGACCUUUCCCCACACUGACAGCUUCUUGUCAUGUUCUAAUUGGAAAUUCUCAUUUUGUUUGUGUAGCACUGGAAUUGCAAACAUCUUACUUAUUCAAACUUUCUAAACUGUUGUCACCUUCUGAAGUGUUUUGUCUGGAGGAAACAUUGAGGUUUAUUUUCUUUGUAAUCCACUUAAUGAUGAAGGAACACAAACAGGUGGUUUUCAGAGAUUUUUAAAUGCAAGAUGCAUAUGUCUUGCUGUCAUAACAGUUUGUCUCAUUAUAUGGAAUAAAAUUCAAGGAAGUUGAUGUAUUGCUUACAAAGGAAGCAACAACAGUAUCAAGUGAUGCAGUCCUGUUCAGUAAUAUUGUUAUAACUUCAGGAAUUUGGUUGCCUGAAUAUCUAAAAUUUCAACUGAGGCCAACACAAUAAUAAUAGUAUUAAUUAUUUUGUUAUAAAACAAGCAGCGUCUCUGUGCCUUUUGUAUCUUUUUAUUGUUUUAUAGCCUUAAACAUCUAUUUACUAAUGCUUUGUGCUUUAUGAGGUUGAAAAUAUAAUGUUCCUUUUCUCUUUGUUUACUUCAGCUUUUUCUGUUUGUUUUCUGCUCACUGAUCUAUUUUUUUCUUUUUUUCCUUUCACCCUGAGACUUUCCAAUACUUCAAGUCACAUAGAUCACCUGGAUUAUCACAUAUAUCAUCUGCACUUCUCUUCAAAAUUCAGCUUCAUCUGAAAACAGCAGUAAAAGAAUCAUCCAUGGCCUUUGAGGUGUUCUGCCUUUGCUGAAUCAUGAAGCUUUAAAGCAUGCUCUCAGGGGCAGCUCUCAUACCUGCCUGAACCCCCAGGUUUGCAAACAGGUUUUUGCAUAAUUUUAUUCAUUUGUUGUACAGGUGCAGGUGUGAGUGCAUGGUGGGGCAGGCCGGUGGGCACUGGCAGUCCUGCAGGAGAUGGGUGACAUGGGCAGCUCUCCCUCAGCCUCGUACAGCUUUGGAGCAGGAGGUGAGGCUCAUCAGGCACCUUCUGUGGAGCCUGGCUCAGCACCCAGGCAGAUGCCUGUACAGACCUUGGUACAGAGGGUGGGAGCCUGGCUGGAUACCACUGGGAAGCAUCACCCCUGCCCUGUGCAGUCAUGAUACCACAAGGCUUCCAGCUACCUACCAGCACUGCUUGAACAAUGCAAGCACUCAUCUCUUGUGGUAAGAUAACUCACAAGCACAAAGGUAAGAAAAUACAAUACCAAGAUAUGCAGCAGGGAGACUGGCAUGGCUGGGUAUAAAGUGGUUUAGAAGUCCCGAGUGUACAAGGCUCAGAUGAACAAUGUAUUAGGCAAAUGUGUUAAAGGGAGUUUCUGCAGUGCAACUUAGACUUCACCUAGUCUAAUAGUGAAAAGCAAAUGCUGCAUACAAAUGGGGUUUUUGCCUUCUUUACCCUGUGAAUACCCUAAAAUGUCUUUACAUGGAAGUGAAAAUAAUCCAUGGUGCCUUAGCACCCAAACCCUGCUCUUUCUGCACAGUGUAGGGAAGUGUGUUCCUGCUCGGUACUCACCUGAGUACGUGUGCUGUGUGCAUCCGUAGCAUUACAGUGUGAGUCCUGCCAUCGGUGCAGAAACACGUGCUGCUCUGAACAAGGAGCAGUAAAGUUGCUGUGGCUGAUGUUAUUUGUCUUUUGCAGGCCAUGUAGGUGAUUUCUUCCCAUGACUUCUGGGUAAAGAAUGAAGGUGCAACUUCUGUGACAGCAAGGGUGAAAAGGCAGGCAGUAAUGCUACCUGCUGGCUGUAAUAUUGAUUUGAAGCCUUGCUGCAAGUUCAGAGGUCUUACUCAAGCAUAAACACAAAAGAAUGAUUGUUUGAAAUUUAGUAAGUGGUAAUAACAGAGCUAUUGCAAAGGCAACCAGCUUGACAGACCCUCAGCCUGCCCAUAAUAUCCUACAACUCUGUCAGAGAAACCUGUCUGAUGAGUGGCUCCCACAGCCUGAGGAGAACAGCUGGAAAUGAAAGGCUUUUCAGAGGCUUAUGUUGAGAGGAGAGAAAGAGGAAGAGGAGACCUGAAGCAGCACCUCUCUCUGCAUCCCUGGUUUUGUCUUUUGGCUGGACCAUGGUGGGUCUGGAGAGGGGUUACUUAUGCCAGAGGCCUCAGGAGGUCCCUCGAUGAACUCCAGACUGAGUUAGAGCACUGCUGAACAACAACAACA